Triticum aestivum (bread wheat) is the source of this 125-nucleotide non-coding RNA. The record is from Rfam. Lineage: Eukaryota; Viridiplantae; Streptophyta; Magnoliopsida; Poales; Poaceae.
UUGAUACUCCCUCCGUCCGGGAAUACUUGUCAUCAAAAUGGAUGAAAAUGGAUGUAUGUAGAACUAAAAUACAUCUAGAUACAUCUAAUUCAAUGACAAGUAUUUCCAGACGGAGGGAGUAGGAG